ACGAGUUAAACAAAUCGGUUGUUGCUGGUCUUUCGGGGCAUGUGCACACCUAUUUACUCAUCCACAUACACCUGUGCACCUUUGUAGUCUCUUUUUUGUUUCUAAUAUAAAGUGGAAAGCCAUUCACUUGGUUGAAAGCUUUGUAAUGGAGGGGGAAAAGAGUUCUACGUCUUAUACACACACUAUAAGUUUUAGAAUGUAUAUUUUUGCUAUAAAACGCAUUUAAAUA
RNAcentral lists this unclassified non-coding RNA (229 nucleotides) under uncultured Basidiomycota. RNAcentral's name for it is "sequence contains ITS1". Lineage: Eukaryota; Fungi; Basidiomycota. The record is from RNAcentral.